CCUACGGGUGGCAGCAGUGGGGAAUAUUGCACAAUGGGGGAAACCCUGAUGCAGCGACGCCGCGUGAGUGAAGAAGUAUUUCGGUACGUAAAGCUCUAUCAGCAGGGAAGAAAAUGACGGUACCUGACUAAGAAGCCCCGGCUAACUCCGUGCCAGCAGCCGCGGUAAGACGUAGGGGGCAAGCGUUAUCCGGAUUUACUGGGUGUAAAGAGUUCGUAGGCGGUAUGUUAAGUCUGGUGUUAAAUGCCGCAGCUCAACUUCUGUUCGGCACUGGAUACUGGCAAACUAGAGUGCGGUAGAGGUAAGGGGAAUUCCUGGUGUAGCGGUGAAAUGCUUAGAUAUCAGGAGGAACAUCGGUGGCGUAGGCGCUUUACUGGGCCGUAAUUGACGCUGAGGAACGAAAGCCAGGGUAGCAAAUAGGAUUAGAUACCCGUGUAGUC
This 440-nucleotide ribosomal RNA is filed under the name uncultured bacterium. RNAcentral describes it as "partial 16S ribosomal RNA". It matches the Rfam family "Bacterial small subunit ribosomal RNA", at positions 338 to 795 of the family's 1533-position model. The record is from RNAcentral.